Molecule: long non-coding RNA, 2548 nt
Filed under: Sus scrofa (pig)
Lineage: Eukaryota; Metazoa; Chordata; Mammalia; Artiodactyla; Suidae
Description: lncRNA (ENSSSCG00025060198.1)
Source: RNAcentral
AGAGAAGGAAAAGUCAAAGCCCGAAGUGAUUUCCAGUCCACGUUGGCUUCUUGCCGUUUUCACUCACUGGACCUGCCCAGCGGCUGUUCAUGCUUCUUAAGAAAAGUUGAUCUUCUUGGAAUAAUCACCAGUUUGGCUUCUCAGAGUUCAGCCUGGCCUGGAAGAGGCACCUGAAGAGCCAGAAAUUAUACAUGCCUGUGGUUCUUCAAGUCACUUCUAGCCAUAACAGCAUGGAUUUCUUGGGCUCCUUUGCUUUUGGAUGGACCGGAUGUCUGCUAUGCCGUUCUCAUACACCUUAAGAACACUCCAGAAGGAGAGCCAUGGGCUUUAUUCCACUGAAGGAAGGAAAAAUCUGAGACAUGAACCUCAGCAGGAAUCUGCCCAAUACACCGAGUUCCAGCCCAGUUGGAGGCAAGGCUAGCUUAGAGUCAACAUGUAUUUUCUGGAUUCUAUUGAAGGUGGUAUGCAUUGCUUCUGUCUAGAACCCAGCGACAUAAUCAACGCAAUUGCAGAGUAGAUCGGGAAAUGCUGAAAUGCACAGAAAUAUAGGUGAACACUGAUGAUCUCUGGCAUUACGCACUUAGCCGUGGGCCUCAGAGAAAUCACCCCGUUCUCCCCUCCUUUUCCCUAAAAUGGGGGCAAUAUCCCCUAGCUUCUGGAAUUCUCAGGAGGAUUAAAUAAGAUAAUGCACCGGAAGGAACCUACCAGUACAGUGCCAGGCACAGAGCAGAGGCUAAAGCAACACCCCCCUUGCUUUUCAAUCCCACCCUUCCUCCCUGUUAGCUGUUCCUGAGAGCCCAUGGGAAAAGAGGAAGCAGGAUGGUCCACAUAUGGUUUUAAUUGGAUAAAUCAGGAGGUGAGGAGAUGCCAUUUGCAUUCUUUUCUGAUCUUCUCAAGGCGAAUGAGUAAUAGCUGGCUGUUUGGAAAGAAACUAUUAGCCUAUGUUGAGCCCUUCCUGAUGGCUUUGAUGGCCGUGUUUCUAGGAUCUGUUGGAAAGGAUAAAGGCACAGAAUGGUACUGCCAUGACAUCUGGGCACUACCAUCCAAAGCCAUAGCAGUUUGCUGGGUUGUUCUUGUAAGCUGAACAGAGAGAAAAGCAUGCUGUGUGCUCCCCAAAUUAUUAACACAGGUUCUGGGAGCUGACACAAUUAUAGUCUGCUUACUGGAUAAGCCGAAGGUGGGUGGAGGUUGUGCAUACAGAUGGCUCUGUCUCUCUGACUCAUGUCUCAAAGGUGUUGACACCUAGGGCCCAGCUUUGGGAAAUGCUCUAUUUGGAAAGGGUUGGCCGAUGGCCUAGGCUAUGUUCUCAUCAUCUAGAAUAUGUUAGAAAAGUCAGUCAGAUGGAAAUUCUGGCCUUCCUCUCCUUAAGGACUGUCAUCCCCUAAUUCCCAUACCCCCAUUUAUGCUAGCUGCUAUGAAUCGCUUUUUCUCUGCAACCUCUUAAUAAUUUAGGUUUAUAUCUUCAGGAUUUUUUUAAAGGUCCAAUGUAAGGCAGUUGUGGAAAUCAGUAUGGGUCCAAUGCCUUAAAAAAAAUACCACAUUAAAGUAGUAAACACUUGAGCUGCAAAUAAUAGUAACUGUGGUUUCAAAAUUAAAGGCAUUGAUUGUUUUACAAGGACGCCUAGAGGAUAGUAGUGCAGGACUGGUUCAGUACUCAAUAAUGACCCCCAAAUCUAUGCUUUCUUUAACCUUUCUACAUUUCCUUAGCUUACCUUGUUGGCCUUUCACCCUCGCGGAUGUUGUCACAUGGUCACAAAACAGCUUCUGUAGCUCCAGGCAUCACAUCAGCAUUCAGGGCAAGAAGAAGGAAGAAAUUAAUAGUACUAGUUCUAUCUGUCCCUUUUAUCAGGACAGACAGCAAAAGCCAGCCUUAAAAUACAGAUCAGGAUAAACAAUUGUUUUCAGCUAAUGUAAUCAAACUUUAGUUCCAAAUUCUUGAGUUUCUCUUCAUGUUUCUGGAAUCAGUCUCUUUUCCCUUACUUCCCUGUGGAAGCAACCCUAGACUAUAGGCUAGGGUUGUAUUUUCCUAUUUUCCUCUGGCAUAUCUCUUAAAGACGGAAAAAGAGACAUUCAAAGAUGAGAGGGAGAGACAGACAGACAGAGACAGAUGACAGAGGGGAAAGAGAGGGAAUUAUGCAGGAUAUAGAGAAAGCUAUUUUGAUCUAUUUCAGUCAAUUUACUUUUUUUGUGUGUUUAUUUUAUUCCCCACCCCUAUCUUUAACAUCACCUGCGGUGAUUAUACCUGCUUUCCCAGUGAGGCCCUGUCCCUCAGUCAUUGAUAGUAUAAUUUCAGAUUCUCAAGUGGUGAUGCAAGAAUGCCCAGCGUUGAGAAGAUGGCUGGCUAAUCAAGCUUCUUGCUAAAUUUGAGUGGAGCAAAAAAUGAAAACUGUUAUAGAUAUAGAAAAGUUUUUCUUUUUAACAAAACUCUCUAGGAAGGGAUCUGGUAUUUAGACAGAAGAGUUUUCAUGCCUGCUUUAGCAUUUUAUUUAUUUGUAAAUAAAAACUGACUUUAGACACCAGUUCAUUCAAACAUUAAAACAAUUGAUUC